Molecule: unclassified non-coding RNA, 379 nt
Filed under: uncultured bacterium
Lineage: Bacteria
Description: contains 16S-23S intergenic spacer region
Source: RNAcentral
UCCGGUUUGGCACCGGCAGUCUUCCUAGAGUCCCCGCCAUUACGUGCUGGCAACUAAGGACAAGGGUUGCGCUCGUUGCGGGACUUAACCCAACAUCUCACGACACGAGCUGACGACAGCCAUGCAGCACCUGUCACUCGGUUCCCGAAGGCACUCCCGCAUCUCUGCGGGAUUCCGAGGAUGUCAAAGGCAGGUAAGGUUCUUCGCGUUGCAUCGAAUUAAACCACAUGCUCCGCUGCUUGUGCGGGUCCCCGUCAAUUCCUUUGAGUUUUAGCCUUGCGGCCGUACUCCCCAGGCGGGGCACUUAAUGCGUUAGCUGCGACACCGAGCGCGUCUAUACGCCCGGCAUCUAGUGCCCAUCGUUUACGGCGUGGACUAC